GACGUAGGGCGCAAGCGUUGUCCGGAUUUAUUGGGCGUAAAGAGCUCGUAGGCGGCCUGUCGCGUCGACCGUGAAAACCCGCAGCUCAACUGCGGGCUUGCGGUCGAUACGGGCAGGCUGGAGUUCGGUAGGGGAGACUGGAAUUCCUGGUGUAGCGGCGAAAUGCGCAGAUAUCAGGAGGAACACCGGUGGCGAAGGCGGGUCUCUGGGCCGAUACUGACGCUGAGGAGCGAAAGCGUGGGGAGCGAACAGG
Molecule: ribosomal RNA, 253 nt
Filed under: uncultured bacterium
Lineage: Bacteria
Description: partial 16S ribosomal RNA
Rfam family: Bacterial small subunit ribosomal RNA
Source: RNAcentral